AUGCACACACACACACACCCCUUCUCUGUGCAUGAAAGAGACAGGGCAUGGCGAGUGGUUGCUGCUGUUUUAAUAGAGAAAAUGCUGGCGGAAGGUGAACGUACCGCGCACAGGCUGGCAAGUGCCGUGGUACAGAUAAGUCUGCAGCACAUCAUGGGGAUCUUUGUGUAAACUGAGGUGAGUGUUAGAUUAUGCCUUGCAUUGUACCACCUUUGAUCUAUGCAUAUUUUCCUAUUUGAUCCCGGCACAGCACAUUUAGCCAUGUACUAAGGAGUUCUUUCCCCUUUGUCUUUCAAAUGCUAUUGCAUUGGACAUUCUCUAUCUUUUAAAAUGUAUGUUUAAAGUUGAAUAUAUGUAAUGUCCCCUUAGACUGCUAUUUUUCAUUUACAAAGAUAAGUUUUAUAUACUGUAAAUUUUAUUUCGUACCAAAAAUAUAUUAUCCUGCAAGCAAAUUGAGUCUAAUGUUCUCAAUGUGCCUGUAAUUCUUUUGCAAUUGAGUGAAGUGUGAAAAUUCAUUUGACUGCUCUUAGUGAAAGAUAAGAGGGGUGGGAGAUGGAAAUUGUUUUACUUCUGCCAAGUGAGCA
Molecule: long non-coding RNA, 584 nt
Filed under: Chrysemys picta bellii (western painted turtle)
Lineage: Eukaryota; Metazoa; Chordata; Testudines; Emydidae
Description: lncRNA (ENSCPBG00000010789.1)
Source: RNAcentral